RNAcentral lists this ribosomal RNA (253 nucleotides) under uncultured bacterium. RNAcentral's name for it is "partial 16S ribosomal RNA". It matches the Rfam family "Bacterial small subunit ribosomal RNA", at positions 524 to 776 of the family's 1533-position model. The record is from RNAcentral.
UACGGAGGGGGUUAGCGUUGUUCGGAAUUACUGGGCGUAAAGCGCGCGUAGGCGGACUAUUAAGUCAGGGGUGAAAUCCCGGGGCUCAACCCCGGAACUGCCUUUGAUACUGGUAGUCUUGAGUUCGAGAGAGGUGAGUGGAAUUCCGAGUGUAGAGGUGAAAUUCGUAGAUAUUCGGAGGAACACCAGUGGCGAAGGCGGCUCACUGGCUCGAUACUGACGCUGAGGUGCGAAAGUGUGGGGAGCAAACAGG